GAUGAACGCUGGCGGCGUGCUUAACACAUGCAAGUCGAGCGGGGUUUGUAGUGGAAAUCCUUCGGGAUGGAAGCUACCGACCUAGCGGCGGACGGGUGAGUAACGCGUGGGCAACCUGCCCUAUGCAGGGGAAUAACAACGAGAAAUCGUUGCUAAUACCGCAUAUUCUUUUGAGAUCGCAUGAUUUUAAGAGGAAAGAUUUAUCGGCAUAGGAUGGGCCCGCGUCUGAUUAGCUAGUUGGUGAGGUAACAGCUCACCAAGGCAACGAUCAGUAGCCGACCUGAGAGGGUGAUCGGCCACAUUGGGACUGAGACACGGCCCAAACUCCUACGGGAGGCUG
This 340-nucleotide ribosomal RNA is filed under the name uncultured Bacillota bacterium. RNAcentral describes it as "bacterial SSU rRNA". It matches the Rfam family "Bacterial small subunit ribosomal RNA", at positions 28 to 351 of the family's 1533-position model. The record is from RNAcentral. Lineage: Bacteria; Bacillati; Bacillota.